Molecule: ribosomal RNA, 832 nt
Filed under: uncultured archaeon
Lineage: Archaea
Description: bacterial SSU rRNA
Rfam family: Archaeal small subunit ribosomal RNA
Source: RNAcentral
GCUCAGUAACACGUGGACAAUCUGCCCUUGGGUCUGGGAUAACUCCGGGAAACUGGAGAUAAUACCAGAUAGGUCAUAGAUGCUGGAAUGCUCUAUGGCCCAAAGCUCCGGCGCCCAAGGAUGAGUCUGCGGCCUAUCAGGUUGUAGUGGGCGUAAUGGACCCACUAGCCUACGACGGGUACGGGUUGUGAGAGCAAGAGCCCGGAGAUGGAUUCUGAGACAUGAAUCCAGGCCCUACGGGGCGCAGCAGGCGCGAAACCUUUACAAUGCGCGCAAGCGCGAUAAGGGGACCUCGAGUGUUCCUACCUAGUAGGAACUGUCCAGUUGUCUAAAAAACAACUGUUAGCAAGAGCCGGGCAAGACCGGUGCCAGCCGCCGCGGUAACACCGGCGGCUCGAGUGGUGACCGCUUUUAUUGGGUCUAAAGGGUCUGUAGCCGGUCUAACAAGUUCUUUGGAAAAUCUGGUCGCUUAACGAUCAGGCUGCUAGGGGAUACUGUUAGACUUGGGACCGGGAGAGGCUAGAGGUACUUUAGGGGUAGGGGUGAAAUCCUGUGAUCCUUAAAGGACCACCAGUGGCGAAGGCGUCUAGCUAGAACGGAUCCGACGGUGAGGGACGAAAGCUGGGGGCACGAACCGGAUUAGAUACCCGGGUAGUCCCAGCCGUAAACGAUGCGAGCUAGGUGUCAGUUUUACUGCGAGUAAAAUUGGUGCCGUAGGGAAGCCGUGAAGCUCGCCACCUGGGAAGUACGGCCGCAAGGCUGAAACUUAAAGGAAUUGGCGGGGGAGCACUACAACGGGUGGAGCCUGCGGUUUAAAUGGAUUCAACGCCGG